This 253-nucleotide ribosomal RNA is filed under the name uncultured bacterium. RNAcentral's name for it is "partial 16S ribosomal RNA". It matches the Rfam family "Bacterial small subunit ribosomal RNA", at positions 524 to 776 of the family's 1533-position model. The record is from RNAcentral.
UACGUAGGGGGCGAGCGUUGUCCGGAGUUACUGGAGCGUAAAGCGCACGCAGGCGGUCUGCUAAGUUUGGAGUGACAGUUGGUGGCUUAACUGCCAAAGUGCUUCGAAACUGACAGACUUGAGGGCUUCAGAGGGACACGGAAUUCCGGGUGGAGUGGUGAAAUGCGUAGAGAUCCGGAGGAACACCAAAGGCGAAGGCAGUGUCCUGGGGAGUACCUGACGCUCAGGUGCGAAAGCCAGGGGAGCGAACGGG